RNAcentral lists this ribosomal RNA (253 nucleotides) under uncultured bacterium. Its description in RNAcentral is "partial 16S ribosomal RNA". It matches the Rfam family "Bacterial small subunit ribosomal RNA", at positions 524 to 776 of the family's 1533-position model. The record is from RNAcentral.
UACGAAGGGGGCUAGCGUUGCUCGGAAUCACUGGGCGUAAAGGGUGCGUAGGCGGGUCUUUAAGUCAGGGGUGAAAUCCUGGAGCUCAACUCCAGAACUGCCUUUGAUACUGAAGAUCUUGAGUUCGGGAGAGGUGAGUGGAACUGCGAGUGUAGAGGUGAAAUGCGUAGAUAUCGAGAGGAACACCUGCGGCGAAGGCGGGUUGCUGGGCUGACACUGACGCUGAUGCGCGAAAGCCAGGGGAGCGAACGGG